This 257-nucleotide long non-coding RNA is filed under the name Apteryx owenii (little spotted kiwi). RNAcentral describes it as "lncRNA (ENSAOWG00000005468.1)". The record is from RNAcentral. Lineage: Eukaryota; Metazoa; Chordata; Aves; Apterygiformes; Apterygidae.
UCUAGGACUGCUGCUGCUGCUCGUGGUACAAGCACAAAGCUAUUUUCUUUGGCUAUUUUCAAAGACUGACUAAUUGGGAAAUGGAAGAACAUAUUUUCAGAUGAGGUUAAGAUUUCCCCCACCAGUGCACACUCACCAGCCCUGAGGCACAGCUCCCUGCUCUGCUCCUGACAUGUGUUUCUCUGUGAACUUGGACGGUGCCUACCACGCUGGCAGGAAGCCACACCGGAGCUAACAGAGAGGCACGGGAACUCAGC